RNAcentral lists this long non-coding RNA (330 nucleotides) under Carica papaya (papaya). Its description in RNAcentral is "long non-coding RNA (CPAP_LNC003003)". The record is from RNAcentral. Lineage: Eukaryota; Viridiplantae; Streptophyta; Magnoliopsida; Brassicales; Caricaceae.
UAGGAACACUCCAUUUUUCUUCUCUGUGUUUGUUUCGAGCGUGUAUAGAAUUAGAUUCCUUUAGGAUUUUUAUGUGCCAGAAAGACUAAUGUGCAGAUCCUGAUCUAAAGCGAAUCCGAUUAUGAAUACUCAACUUGACAUGAGCCAAGGUGAGGGAGAGUUUAUUUGCUUUCAUUAACCUUUUAUUGCAGGUGUUUCAUUAUGUCUCAAGAGAAUAGUACCCUUGUUCUCCAAAGAGCUCUCAAUUUAUAGAUCAGGAGGGAAGACCACAAACAAUAGGAUAACACAUUCCACACUCAUUUCCUUAUCAACGAUAAAGUGUGUAGUAUG